AUAAACCAGGAUUAGAUACCCUAUUAUAUUUAAACAAAUUAGGUAGUAUUAUUAAUAAAAACCUUUAUACUUUGGCGGCAUUUUAUCUUAUUAGAGGAAUAUGUUCAUUAAUCGAAACCACACGAUAGUUUUUACUUACUAUAAAAUUUUAUAUACCCCCGUCUAAAGAAUUUAUUUAAAAUUUUUAUUCCAAAUUAUAUUAAAAAAAGUUAGGUAAAGGUGUAGACUAUUAGUAAGAUUAAAUGUAUUACAUUAAAAAAAAUUUAAGGAUAAAACAGUUAACUGUUUAUUAAAAGAGGAUUUAUAAGUAAUUUACUUUUAAUAAAAAUUAAUGAAUAAGAAAAUAAAUGUGCACAUAUCGCCCGUCACUCU
Molecule: ribosomal RNA, 372 nt
Filed under: Sancus acoreensis
Lineage: Eukaryota; Metazoa; Arthropoda; Arachnida; Araneae; Tetragnathidae
Description: partial 12S ribosomal RNA
Source: RNAcentral